UACGUGAAAAAGUAUGGUUGUAAUCAAAGCCUCCCUCGAAGUUUUCCCAACGGUGACAGCCUAUGGGUUCUGCUGGUGCCUCAGCUCGGAUUGGUUGAAAGCUGACCGGGCUUGGGUGCAUGAUCGGUGGGCCCACUGGUGCAUCUCCGAGCGUGGAUUUACGGUAGGAACUGUUCAGACCGGACCGAAGGCCUGGGGUGAAGUUUUUGCUCCGGCAUCAGCUCCCGGUGUCCUGGCUCCGGACCGGACAGGCUCUGCAUGCCAACUUGUACAGCAAGCAACCUUUUGUUGUUGCGGUUGGCACUUCCCUAUCGAGUAGGUCGGUGUA
RNAcentral lists this ribosomal RNA (328 nucleotides) under Tortanus gracilis. Its description in RNAcentral is "partial 28S ribosomal RNA". The record is from RNAcentral. Lineage: Eukaryota; Metazoa; Arthropoda; Copepoda; Calanoida; Tortanidae.